CUAUCUAGCUGUCUAAACUAUUUAUUUAAUUUAUUGUGAAUUAUUGUUCUUACUUAUUUCCUUCCUUCCAUCUAACAAUUAUCCAUUGUAUAUUUAAAUUGUAUAUACUUCUAUAUUUCUCUUACUUAUAUGCAUCAUAUAUCCAUCUAUCCAUUUUAUCGAUUCUUUAUUGUUUCGUAUAUUUAUUAAUUUAUUUAUAUCUAACUACUUACUUUCCAUCCAUCCAUCCAUCCAUCCAUCCAUCCAUCCAUCCAUCCAUCCAUCCAUUUGAUUUAUUUCUUUAUUUUUAAUCAAAGCAGAAGUGCUGUCUCAGGCACAGAUUUUACUUUUAAUGUAGCUAGUAUAGGUUUUAUGGAUGCUACAUACUUUAGAAAUAAGUCCUAAUGAUCUAAUUAGAAUCUUCUCUAAAUCUAUUUCUAUUAAAGUUUGCUUUGAUAAGUAAAGAUGAUGCUUCAUGACUGCUUAACAUGGGUAAUAGUUGGACAUUUAGUCUGUGCUCGUAAAAUAAAAUCAGUGAUGCAAAAACCUUUCUUUUUUAAGGACUGAAAAGAAAUGUGUGGCUGCAAAAAAGUUUGAGAAUCUCCUGUCAUAUUUUAUCUCCCUGACUAAUAUACAAAGAUAAGGAGAAGAUCCGUGAAUAUGGUUAAAAAAGAGAAAGGCAGAACGCCUGGCCACUGAUGGAGCUCGGUUAAGCGGACCUAAGCCCGUCUUUGCGUCUCCGGAGACACACGGUCCUGAUUUAGGCACUGCGUGUUCCACGUCGCUCUGGCUUGUAUGUAAGAGCGAAGGCUGCUGUUAAGACCCGAGGCUCUAUACACACAUCGGCUCAUUCCAGCGGUCGGCCGUGGCAUUCAUUACAGUUUAAUGAUGUGCUAGCAGUGGCCUGUUCCAGCACUAAGCCUUGCCAUUUCCACUGGAAAAGACAGGCUAAUGGGAUUCAGUAGCAAAUGCCUGCAGGCUGUAGAACUGUGUGUGGGAUGGAAGCCACCUACACACACAAGCGCGCACACACACACACACGCGCGCACACACACACAAGACACCCACAAAAACAAAUUUCAGGCAUGUAUCGUGGACACCAACUUUCACAAAGCAUUCUGAAACUGAUGUAGCCUCGGACACAAACCUAAAAAGAGUGCGUAUACAGCGAGAAGAUCAGUUCAAGGUCAAAGCCUGAUGAAGCAGUGUAAGAAUUAGGAGGUUUGACAAAAAUAUCAUAUCACGAUUCUUAAAGACAUAUCUACGAUACACAACACUUAUCACGUUGUGUAGGCCAGCAAAGCAGCACAGGAAAAUUGUUUAAUAAUUUAAUAUCUACAAAUAUUUACAAAAUGUAUUGAUACAAUGUAAAGUUUUUAUUAUUAUUACAUUUAAAAAAAAAAAGCAAAUAUUUAUCAGUGUAACGAGGAACGUUUUAAAGGAUUUUACAAUUUUUAACGAGUACUAACAUUUAAUAAUAAAAAGCACACCUUUCUUUUUGUCGUGCUUGCUAUUCCCAUUCAUUAAAUAAAUAAAUAAAUAAAUAAAU
Tachysurus fulvidraco (yellow catfish) is the source of this 1528-nucleotide long non-coding RNA. RefSeq lists it as uncharacterized. NCBI's taxonomy places the organism in Eukaryota, Metazoa, Chordata, Actinopteri, Siluriformes, Bagridae. The record is from RefSeq and is a predicted model, not a curated record. The transcript has 2 exons.